GUCAAACCCACACCCCAAAUCAAAUCAAAUCACUAAACCCUCUGCCCUAAUUCAGCGAAGAAAUAGCGAGAAGCAGUGAAGAAAAAAAUGAGCGAGAAUCAAAGGCAAGAAGCAAUGGGAAAGAAGAAGGGCGAGAAUCAAUGACAGCAAGAAUGAAGAUGAUCGAUUUGGCCUCCACAUAAUUG
Ipomoea nil (Japanese morning glory) is the source of this 185-nucleotide long non-coding RNA. RefSeq lists it as uncharacterized. The record is from RefSeq and is a predicted model, not a curated record. Lineage: Eukaryota; Viridiplantae; Streptophyta; Magnoliopsida; Solanales; Convolvulaceae. The transcript has 3 exons.